Molecule: ribosomal RNA, 468 nt
Filed under: uncultured bacterium
Lineage: Bacteria
Description: partial 16S ribosomal RNA
Rfam family: Bacterial small subunit ribosomal RNA
Source: RNAcentral
GCCUCCCUCUUUCUUCGUGCUUAACACAUGCAAGUCGAACGGAAAGGCCCUGCUUUUGGGGGGUGCUCGAGUGGCGAACGGGUGAGUAACACGUGAGUAACCUGCCCUUGACUUUGGGAUAACUUCAGGAAACUGGGGCUAAUACCGGAUAGGAGCUCCUGCUGCAUGGUGGGGGUUGGAAAGUUUCGGCGGUUGGGGAUGGACUCGCGGCUUAUCAGCUUGUUGGUGGGGUAGUGGCCUACCAAGGCUUUGACGGGUAGCCGGCCUGAGAGGGUGACCGGCCACAUUGGGACUGAGGUACGGCCCAGACUCCUACGGGAGGCAGCAGUGGGGAAUAUUGCACAAUGGGCGGAAGCCUGAUGCAGCAACGCCGCGUGCGGGAUGACGGCCUUCGGGUUGUAAACCGCUUUCGCCUGUGACGAAGCGUGAGUGACGGUAAUGGGUAAAGAAGCACCGGCUAACUACGUG